This 4143-nucleotide long non-coding RNA is filed under the name Olea europaea subsp. europaea. The record is from RNAcentral. Lineage: Eukaryota; Viridiplantae; Streptophyta; Magnoliopsida; Lamiales; Oleaceae.
UUCCCAUCCCAUUUCCAUAAUAUAAGAGUCGUAGAGGACAGGACCCACCCCAGCCUCACCCCUACUCUAUAAAUAUGCAAACUGCAUAACUUUGUUCAUCAAAAUAAAUCUAUACCUCCAAUCAAACAAUUGAUCACUGCACAAACUUUUCUCUGCUAAAUAAAUAUUUGUAUCUUACUAUUUACAUGCAAAAUGGCUCUUCAGAAGAAUACUUUUUCCUUUAUUAUUUUUAUUCUUUCUAUAGCUUCGUGUUGUAUUAGUCUUCGCGAUGAUUUACUUGAUAAUUAUCUCCAAGAAGAAUCUGGUUAUGAUUUUCAAGCUUUCCCUUCGUAUUUUAGCCCCAUUGAAGGCGUCAAGCUACAUAAUUCGGCCAAAAUAGAGACCGAAUAUUCUGAUUUCAAGAAGUCUCGAAUACUUGCAGCGUCAGCUAAGACGAUUAAUGUACAGAGGUUUGGAGCUAAAGGCGAUGGAAGAACUGAUGAUAGCAAGGUAAUUAUUCCUUAUUUAUUUCUAUAACAAAUUUUAAUGAUUUAUCGAGUUACCCAAUAACUAAAGAAAAAAUGUUUUGGCAAAUCCAUUAAUAUAAAAAAGUACUUGUGUGUUGUAAUCAGAUUUAGUUACUAAGUUUUUGUGCUAUUUUUAUAUAUUGCGGCCGAAAAGUUUUCAUCUUUCUGUUAUUAAAUUUGUUUCAGGCUUUUCAGAAAGCAUGGGAGGAAGCUUGUUCAUCCUACUCAGCUGUUAACUUUUUGGUGCCUCAGGGAAAAAAUUAUCUUCUCAAACCAAUUAAAUUCUCAGGUCCUUGUAAAUCUCAAAUAAAAAUUCAGGUGAGAAAAAAUAUACAUGGAAAAGGAUAUCUAAAAUUAAUUAUUUAACAAUCAGGAAUAUUUUAAGGAAAGUAUUUAUUAUAUAUGCAAUUAAUUAGAAAAUUAACUUGAUACAGAUUACUGGAACAUUGGUAGCUUCUGAUGAUCACUCUGACUACAGUAACGAUGGAAGGCACUGGCUUCUUUUUGACAGUGUCCAAAAUUUAAUUGUUGAAGGUGGUGGUACCAUCAAUGGUAAUGGAAAUGUGUGGUGGAAAAAUUCCUGCAAAAUAAAUAAAGCUAAGGUAUGAAUGAUUUAAUUAAAUUAAAGUUUAUUCCUGCAGCUAAUCUUUCUUUUAUCUUUAAUUAUUAGAUCACUUGCCUCUCUAUUCUAAUGCAAUUUGUAUUGUUUUUUUUGGUAUCAUGCAGCCAUGCAAGGACGCUCCAACGGUAGGUUCAUUUCUUUCUUUUGAUGAAGUUAUUUUGUGAUAGUGCAUUCAAUAUAUUUACUCUCUACACUUCUUAAGAUGAUAGCAUUUUUAUUUUAAAUACGUCUUGAAAAUUGAAAUUCAUUAAAAUUCUAGUAACAUGUAAAAGAAAAAAAAAAGAAAAAGAAAAAAUUGUUUCUAAUUUCCUGUGGCUUUUCAAAUAUCCAUUUUGGUGGAACUUAGCUCGCACGCAUCCUCUAAUUCUUGAGAUAUUUUAUGUUCUUCUUGAUGUGAGCCUACAAAAUUUACUGCAGGCCUUAACCUUCUACAAGUGCAGAAACUUGGUAGUGAAGAACUUGAAGAUAAAAGAUUCUCCACAAAUUCACCUGUCUUUUGAAAAUUGCAUGAAUGUUGAAGCAUCAAAUCUUGUGGUGAAUGCUCCAGAGAAAAGUCCCAAUACUGAUGGAAUCCAUGUUACUAGAACUCAAAACAUUCAAAUUUCCCAUUGUAAUAUAGGAACAGGUAAAUCAUUAUUUAAUCAAAAUUAAGUUACAUUUUUAUUACAGAUACAGUCACAAUUUUCUCAUAUUAAUUUUGUUCGGUGCAGAAGCUACAUAUUUAAUAAAUUUAGAAUUUUAUUGAUUGAACUUUGACGGAUUACAAGAGUAGCUACAACUAACUCUUUUUAAUUUAUUUUCCUCAAACCACUCGUGAGUUUUCUGCACAAUUUGCCUCUAUUUACAAUUCUUGAGAUGCUAGCUAGGAAGAUUACAAGUCAGUCAAGAAAUAAUUAAAUUAACAUUUAAACUUGAUGUUUAAUUUUAGCCUUUUGGUUCCCUCAAGUCUCCUUUCAAUGUGUAAACUUCAAUUUACCAGGCCUUAAUUUAAAUGUUUUUAUCUUCAAUACUUUUAAUAUACUUGGAAAUGCAAAUGAAUUAAUCUGGAGUUUUAACAAAUUUGUCCAGGUGAUGACUGCAUUUCAAUAGUAAGUGGAUCGAAAAAGGUCCUUGCGACGGACAUAAUUUGUGNACAAUUUUCUCAUAUUAAUUUUGUUCGGUGCAGAAGCUACAUAUUUAAUAAAUUUAGAAUUUUAUUGAUUGAACUUUGACGGAUUACAAGAGUUGCUACAACUAACUCUUUUUAAUUUAUUUUCCUCACACCACUCGUGAGUUUUAUGCACAAUUUACCUCUAUUUACAAUUCUUGAGAAGCUGGCUAGGAAGAUUACAAGUCAGUCAAGAAAUAAUUAAAUUAAAAUUUAAACUUGAUGUUUAAGUUUAACCAUUUGGUUCCCUCAAGACUCCUUUCAAUGUGUACACUUCAAUUUACCAAGCCUUAAUUUAAAUGCUUUUAUCUUCAAUACUUUUAAUAUAAUUGGAUGAUGCAAAUGAAUUAAUCUGGACUUCUAACAAAUUUGUCCAGGUGAUGACUGCAUUUCAAUAGUAAGUGGAUCGAAAAAAGUCCUUGCGAUGGACAUAAUUUGUGGACCUGGCCAUGGAAUCAGGUUUAAAGCAUCAAAGUUUUCAAUACAAAAAUGUUAAAUUUCACUGCGUAAUUGUUUUUAAUUUUUUGAUGUUUCUUGAAUGGCUUUGAUCAGCAUCGGAAGCUUAGGAUCUAGAAAUUCAGAAGAUUAUGUCUCAGAUGUCGUGUUGAAUCGAGCAAAGCUUUCUGGAACAACAAAUGGGGUCAGAAUUAAAACCUGGCAGGUAAAUUUUAGUUGGUAACAUAGACUCUAAAUUCUCUCUUUCGUAGUAAGUUUUUGUAAAAUUUCUAAUUUUUCAAUUCAAAAUCAAUUGUCUCUAACUCUAUGUUAAUUGAUAUGCACAGGGCGGAUCUGGAAGUGCAAGUAACAUCAAAUUUCAAAAUGUGGAGAUGCAUAAUGUAAAGAACCCUAUAAUCAUAGACCAAAGCUACUGCGAUCAAUCUAAACCGUGUAAAGAACAGGUAAAAGACGAAACUUACACAUUGAUAAGGCUAAACGGAGAUAAUGAAUUAAUGUCAAUUUUUAUGAUACAAAUAUGUUUUUGUAUUUAUUUCAGAGUUCAGCUGUGCAAGUAAAAAAUGUUGUGUAUCAAAACAUUAAGGGAACAAGUGCUUCGAAUGUAGCAAUUGAUUUUGAUUGCAGUAAGAAGUAUCCAUGCCAAGGGAUUGUGUUACAUGAUGUGAAUUUGGUAGCGGAAGGAGGUGGAUCAGCUAAAGCCAAAUGCAACAAUAUCAAUUUGAAGAAUAUCGGAACUGUUACGCCCCGGUGCUCUUAGACAAGUAAUGUAACAUAAAUGCAGGACACAUUAGGGUUUUGUAAAUUAUAGACAUACAGUCCAAUACAUUGCACGUCUUCGUCCUCUAUAUAUUAGAUCGCAUGGAAUUCAAGAAGGUUCUUGCAGUCAUGGCUACUUGAAUAUUUCGAUGAGGUAUGACAAAAGUUUAUUAAGUUCCUUCUGGCCUCCUAGGAAAAGGGUGUUCUUGAAACAUGCAUUUUUAGAAUUAAAUUAUGAUUUAGGAACCUAAUUAAUAUUUAAUUUUGGAGGCAAUGUUAGAAAUACAUAAAUUUGCUUUAUAAGUUACUAAUCCUGAUUUUCAUUUUAUAUUUCUGCAAUUUUCAGGUUUUAUGGGUAGUCUGGACUGCAAACAGCACUCUUUGGUUUUCAUGGAUUCUUUGUAGGGAUAGCACUAUUGAUGUAUAUAGAUCUGAAAAAUAAAAUUCAUUCAAUAUCCGUUUGAAGAAAAAUAAGGUCGAUUGCCACCUAAAGGAUAAUAUAUAUCCCUCCUUGUUAGAAGUGUAAUAAUCUUCGCUUGUGUCUCAUGAAUGAAAAAAACACAUGAUUCUGAUGUUUGUAUGUUGGAGAAUGUUUGCAUUUUCUUCUCCACGAAUUUAUUGAUCUCUUUUCCCUCAACCAUUUAAUUUCUUUUAGC